CUGCACGUGUGAUACAAUGAGUAUAAUAGCAGGUUUUUGUUUCGAAAGAAAUCAGUAAUCCUGAAAUAUACUCGUGGUAGGGAUCGCCUGUUGCAAUUUCAGUCGUGAACAAGGAAUUCCUAGUAAGGACAAGUCAUUAUCUUGUGCUGAUUAUGU
This 156-nucleotide ribosomal RNA is filed under the name uncultured eukaryote. RNAcentral's name for it is "partial 18S ribosomal RNA". It matches the Rfam family "Eukaryotic small subunit ribosomal RNA", at positions 1487 to 1650 of the family's 1831-position model. The record is from RNAcentral.